CUCUCUCUCUAUCUCUCUAUUUUCAGCAUUUUUCUCCAUCUCCCUCUUCCUCUCUCUCUCUCUCUCUCUCCGCUACUCCUCUCCCCUUCCUUUCUCACCGCUACUUCUCCUCGCGUUCGCGGGCAACCGAAGCACCUCCUCCUCUUCCCCCUCCUCCUCCACCAUUGCCAUCGUGAAGAGGGAAGACUAUAAACGCACCAAACAUGACUCUGUUUUCUCCGAGUGGAAGCUCUCUCUCUCUCUCUCUCUCUCUCUCUCUCUCUCUCUCUCUCAAAUUCGCAAAAACAAUUAUCAUUAUGAGGGACCCUUGUUCAAAUGUCCCAAAAACAAUGAAAGAAAUUUGGAUUUUUGAGAUUUUGGAUGUUCUUUUUUUUGAGAAUUGAAGUCAUCUAAGUUAGCAUCCUAUUUAUACAACUUUCAGUGGGUUGCAAGAGAGAUAUGUCAUUCAUUCAUGUCUCAUGUGCCAAUGUUUGUGAAAAUGGGUUGGUCUGUUUUCCUAUGUUGGUUUUUUCACCUUAUGGUCGAGUUGAAGAGGUCUAUCUUAUGCAUGAUGAAAUGAAGCAGAGUCGUUGUUUGUCUUGUUGCUCUUUUAGUUACACCAUGUAGUCCUAUUCAGUCUUGUAACUAAGCUAUUAUUUGAAUCUAAGUGGCACAAACACUUCUAGGGAAGAGCACUGUUCUUGUCCUACAUGUGUCGGACAUCGAUACUUCUUAGACACUCCUAGAAACGUGCCCGACACUUCUUCAACAUAUCCUGAUUAAAAAAUGAAAUAAAAAUUUCGGACAAUUUGACAACACUAUGCAAACACUUAGUGUUCUCUCUUGGAUAUGUGUGGUGAAUAUCUACAGUAACAAUUCAAACACUUGGUGCACCCAUAAUAUGUCUUGAAAUAUUUUUAAUUUGAUUACAUAAUUUGCAUGGCCAACAUAGAGUAUACAAUGGACAACUUCUAACAUAUGAAAUGAUAUGGCAAUAAAGAUUAAAAUGUAGUAAGACACCAAGUAAUUGGAGAAUGCAUUAUAUACACGAUGUUUGUGGAUCUCUAUUUUUUCCAUUGCAUUAGCAAUCAAAACCAGUCUAGAACUUAUCCAGGAAAGAAUGGUUCAUUUACAUCGGAUGCUACUUUGCUAUAAUUACUGCAUAGUUACUUUUGGAUCAUACUUUUGAAUUUUAAUGACAUGUCAUAACCUUAUGUAUUAUAAUGAAGAGGAUCUAAAUCAUGCCUCAGAGGCUAUAUGAUCAAUCCAACAAUUUUUAAUAUAAUAAACCAUAAAAGUUAAAACAACAAUUGUCUAUAAAAUAGUAAAGAAAUGAGGCUUCAAUGCUCAUAAUUUAUAUUUUAGUACUUACAAGCACCUUUUUGCAUCUAUAAAUUAAUACACUUCAGUGAGUUAUCUUCAUUGUGGCAAAUGCAGAGAGGAAGAUGAAGAUUCUCAUGCUAAAUUUUUUUUUUCUCAUAUUUCUCUUUACUUUGCUAGGAACCCAAGCAAGAACUAUAUCAGGUAAUAUACCUAUACUUAACCAUAAUGAUUCUUUUUUCAGUCAGUCAAUUGUUUUGUAAUCAGUCACUUGGCAAGCACAUGUUUCAGAACAAGUUGUAACUAUACACUCUUCACUAGUUCAAUGCUUGCUUUAGUAGCAUUUCUCUUUUUAUUUAAUCAAAUACUUUGCUCAGAGUACAUAUCAUUCAACUAUGAAUUUUCUUUCAUGAGUUCUUACAAAGUUAGAAUACUUUUACAAAUGCUUGAAGUACAGUUGAAAGUUUGAAGUCAUCUUACAAUCUUAAAUUAAUAACUUUAAUUAUUUUAGCAGUUUCAAUUUAUUUUCUAAACUGUCAUUAUCGUUGUGAUGUAUAACAUGAACAUCCACGUGACAAAUUAAUGAAGAACAAUUGUGGAAGGACCUUCAGCCCAACAACAGUGUCUCUAGCAUCAUCAUCACGAAGCCACAAGAUAAAAUGCGCCUCUCCUUGCAACAAAGAGCAUUCCUCCAACUUUGCAAGAAAGACUAAUUAUGAAAGAUCGUCAAAUCCACCACCUCCAUCUCCAAGUUCAUCACCACCAACUGAACAAAUAUCAAACGCUUUUCCUCGUGGUGAAGAUCAUUCCUUUAAUUUUUUGCGAAGAAUGGAUUAGUAUGGAAGGACCUCAAGUCCACCACUGCCAUCGCCAACAUCAUCACCACCAACCCAACAGAUAUCAAGGGCCUUUUCCUUGUGGCAAAGACCAUUCUUGCAACUUUUUGGAAAGAAUGACUCAAUAUGGAAGGACCUUAAGUCCACCUCAGCCAUCCCCAACAUCAUCACCACCAACCCAACAGAUAUCAAGGGCCUUUCUUUGGAUUGAUGGAGACCUUGAUAUGUUUUGUUAUUAAAAAAUUUUUUAAUUUGGAUUUUAAUUGCUGGUUUGGAUAGUAUAUGUAUUUGUUAGAUUAUACUAUGUUUAUGAACUCUUAUUUUCUUUGAUAUGUACGGUUGAUAGUUAAGUUUUGUUUGUGGUUGAAAA
Non-coding RNA from Camellia sinensis, 2505 nucleotides. The record is from RefSeq and is a predicted model, not a curated record. Lineage: Eukaryota; Viridiplantae; Streptophyta; Magnoliopsida; Ericales; Theaceae.